AUUGAACGCUGGCGGCAGGCCUAACACAUGCAAGUCGAGCGGUAGAGAGAAGCUUGCUUCUCUUGAGAGCGGCGGACGGGUGAGUAAUGCCUAGGAAUCUGCCUAGUGGUGGGGGAUAACGUUCGGAAACGGACGCUAAUACCGCAUACGUCCUACGGGAGAAAGCGGGGGACCUUCGGGCCUCGCGCCAUUAGAUGAGCCUAGGUCGGAUUAGCUAGUUGGUGAGGUAAUGGCUCACCAAGGCUACGAUCCGUAACUGGUCUGAGAGGAUGAUCAGUCACACUGGAACUGAGACACGGUCCAGACUCCUACGGGAGGCAGCAGUGGGGAAUAUUGGACAAUGGGCGAAAGCCUGAUCCAGCCACGCCGCGUGUGUGAAGAAGGUCUUCGGAUUGUAAAGCACUUUAAGUUGGGAGGAAGGGUAGUAACUUAAUACGUUGCU
RNAcentral lists this ribosomal RNA (442 nucleotides) under Pseudomonas anguilliseptica. RNAcentral's name for it is "bacterial SSU rRNA". It matches the Rfam family "Bacterial small subunit ribosomal RNA", at positions 30 to 473 of the family's 1533-position model. Lineage: Bacteria; Pseudomonadati; Pseudomonadota; Gammaproteobacteria; Pseudomonadales; Pseudomonadaceae. The record is from RNAcentral.